UACUUAGCAGUUACAAAUCGAUGGCAUUUGAUGGUUAUACUCCUGUGGGUACAGAUCCUGGGGCUGCAAUGAAAACGACCACAUCUGCAUCAAGCCCGCAGUAUAGUAGAUCUGCAUCUGCACCAGCUGAAGAAAUACCUUGCCCUGUUUACGAGUAUACUCCUAAUGAUGCGGCAACGGAAAAUAUUGCACCACCCACAUAUGACUCUGUUUUUGGACCUGCCAGCACUGCCAUUAGCAAGACCACUGAAAGGAUGAAAGACUUUGGAAAUGCAGACAAUAGGAACAAGGAACAAUAUGUGCCGGAUUCGUGUUGUGAGCUGUUCUGGAAAUUUAUUAUGGUGAACCUACUUAUAUGUGGAAUUCCUCUCGCGCAAAUGGUUGUGGGAAUCGUAUACUGGGACCAAUGUCCCCUCUCAAGCAACAUACCUCUAUACAUGGUCCUGAAUGGUGUUGGUUGGUUCUUACUUGGACUGAGAAUCUGGGCACCUAACUGGGUUGAUCAACACAGAUGGUUUGGUAACUUCUUGGGAUGGGUGUGUGGUCUGGCAAUUUUAUUUGUCAUUGGUUGGUUUCUUGGUGGCAGCUACUGGGUAUUCAAGGAGUUCCGUCGCGUGGAGUACACACCUACUGAAAAUAGACCCGAACCAAUGGUCAAAGUGGAUCCAUAUGACGAUAUAGAUGGUCCAUUUACCAAUAAUACGUUCCUAGUAACUACAAAACAAGGAACGAGGAACCAAACAUUGGUUAUCAACUGGAAUGGCAAGGAAAGGGAACAAUUGAAAAUAACCGACAAACACAUCGAUCUGUGUGAUAAAAUAUUUUCCUACAGAGGUAACGGUACGACCCAGGCUGGGGAAUGGUCCAUAUUUUUCAACUUCACGGUUGUCGAGAUAGGGUUCAAUGGCCAUACCUUGGUGAAAUCUACAAAAGAGAGACUUGAAACGUGUUAUUUUUGGGAGAGGAAAGUUGACAAGAUUAGAGCUGGUAAUGCUGCUGUAACCGUUCGAUUUAAGGACAAGGCACUGAAUGAGAUUUACUUUGAAAAUGACCCUUACUGUAACAAGGCAUUAUACCUCUUUGCCUUCAUAGUCCUCAUCAUUGUGUAUGCUAUUGCUGGAUCUACUGCUACAGUUGCUGUUUGCUUGGGCUGAUGGGAAAUGGAGCUGGAAGUAGAUGUGGAGGUAAACUGGAGGUAAACUGGAGGUAAACUGUAAAGAAGAUUAACAAUUAGAUAAUUAGAUGAUAAAGAAGAUUAGAUCACUUAUACUUCUAUACACGUUCAUGAAGCAGGUUUCUACUGUAGUAAAGACAGAUGUGUUUGUAUCCUAUCUAAAACAAAUCAAUUGAGAACAUUGACCGAUAUUGUCUUGUUUAAAAAUAGACUAAAGACUCAUCUUUUUGAAAAAGUAUUCAUAUAAGUUUCAUAAAAUAACAAUUUUCAUAAAAACCCAUAUGUCAUAACAUGCUAAGUUCGUAUGUACAUGUUCAUUGUUCAUAAGUCGUUUUAGAUGGCUUGAACUGAAUCUUUGGAUUUUGAGUUCUUUUUGGCUAUAAAGCGAUGUAUGAAUUUCUGUUUGUUAUUAUUAUUGUUAAUAAGUCAGCAUAAUUGCUUAUGGGUUUUAAGUUUUAUCGUUUUCAGUAUUUUUAAAUCUUUCAGCAUUUUUUAAUAACAUUUUCGUUUAAAGGAUAGGUUUUUUAAUCAACCAUUAAAGGUAUAGCCCAUUUCAUAGUUAUUUCCUCUUAUUAAUAAAUAUGGAUAGUAUUAUUUGUAAAUUGUUAUGAUCAGAUCUGAGAAGUGUUUUAUAUUUAUAAUACGAUUAUUGUACAUAUUUUUCUUCGAAAUGCUGCAAUAUUUUUGUAAAUUUGAAAUCAGUUAAUAUUAAAUAGUUUCUCUUCAUCAUCUAUUCUGUAAAAAUUAAGUUUUAUCAGACGAUGAUGAUAGAGUGUUCCCUAGUUAAUGCUUUUUAUCAAAAAAUAUCAAUAACAAACAAAGUUAUGAAUAGCUAUCAGUCAUAGCGUGAGCGUAAAUGUGAGCUAGUCAUGAGUCAUGACGUAUCACAUAGUUGUGAGCAAAUAAAAACACUGAAGGCACAAACAAGUUCACUUUAUCAGUCAUUAUACUCUUGAUGAUAUCUAAACAUAUUGUGUGAAAUUGAGCAAAUAUUGAUAUAUGUUAGCUUUUAAACACCCUAUAUUACGUACUAUAAUAUGGAAUAUGGAUCAAUCAACACUAUUACAACCACGCAUCAGUCACAUCGUAUUCUAAUCGAGGUUUGGUAAACUUAAAGAUAGUGCAAGUAAUCUUAAUUACAUCACAUAAGGUGUUGUAACAGUUAGAUACAUUUUCGUUCACAUCGACAGGUCUUAUUAUGGCUGGAAUUUAUUAAUACAGAAAAUAUAGCAGCCCAUGCCCGUUUUUUUUCAUAUUAAAUUCAUAUUUAAUA
RNA transcript from Bolinopsis microptera, 2447 nucleotides. RefSeq lists it as uncharacterized. NCBI's taxonomy places the organism in Eukaryota, Metazoa, Ctenophora, Tentaculata, Lobata, Bolinopsidae. The record is from RefSeq and is a predicted model, not a curated record. The transcript has 7 exons.